AAGAUUUUAAGUUAAUUAAACUAAUAGCCUUCAAAGUUAUAAAUAUAAAUAAAAAUUUUUAAGUCUUA
This 68-nucleotide transfer RNA is filed under the name Trichopygomyia trichopyga. RNAcentral's name for it is "tRNA-Trp". The record is from RNAcentral. Lineage: Eukaryota; Metazoa; Arthropoda; Insecta; Diptera; Psychodidae.